This 251-nucleotide ribosomal RNA is filed under the name uncultured bacterium. Its description in RNAcentral is "partial 16S ribosomal RNA". It matches the Rfam family "Bacterial small subunit ribosomal RNA", at positions 525 to 775 of the family's 1533-position model. The record is from RNAcentral. RNAcentral also lists the same sequence under 1 other name.
ACGUAGGUGGCAAGCGUUAUCCGGAUUUAUUGGGCGUAAAGCGAGCGCAGGCGGUUUGAUAAGUCUGAUGUGAAAGCCUUUGGCUUAACCAAAGAAGUGCAUCGGAAACUGUCAGACUUGAGUGCAGAAGAGGACAGUGGAACUCCAUGUGUAGCGGUGGAAUGCGUAGAUAUAUGGAAGAACACCAGUGGCGAAGGCGGCUGUCUGGUCUGCAACUGACGCUGAGGCUCGAAAGCAUGGGUAGCGAACAG